Molecule: ribosomal RNA, 468 nt
Filed under: uncultured bacterium
Lineage: Bacteria
Description: partial 16S ribosomal RNA
Rfam family: Bacterial small subunit ribosomal RNA
Source: RNAcentral
GACGAACGCUGGCGGCGUGCUUAACACAUGCAAGUCGAACGGAAAGGCCCUGCUUUUGUGGGGUGCUCGAGUGGCGAACGGGUGAGUAACACGUGAGUAACCUGCCCUUGACUUUGGGAUAACUUCAGGAAACUGGGGCUAAUACCGGAUAGGAGCUCCUGCUGCAUGGUGGGGGUUGGAAAGUUUCGGCGGUUGGGGAUGGACUCGCGGCCUAUCAGCUUGUUGGUGGGGUAGUGGCUUACCAAGGCUUUGACGGGUAGCCGGCCUGAGAGGGUGGCCGGCCACAUUGGGACUGAGAUACGGCCCAGACUCCUACGGGAGGCAGCAGUGGGGAAUAUUGCACAAUGGGCGGAAGCCUGAUGCAGCAACGCCGCGUGCGGGAUGACGGCCUUCGGGUUGUAAACCGCUUUCGCCUGUGACGAAGCGUGAGUGACGGUAAUGGGUAAAGAAGCACCGGCUAACUACGUG